UGAGCUUGUUGAUGCUGUUUGCUAAUCUUCCAAAGUGUAAAAUGAGGCAUUUUUCUCUGUGCUCUUUCUAAGCAGACCAGCUCACACGGAGGAGUUGCCCCACAGUUGUGCCUGCUGCUGUUGAGCAGAUGCAGAAGAUCGCCCGAGCUGCUGGGGGUUAAGUGUCUCGCCUGAGGCUGCUGCCACCGACUAUAAGUCAGUGAGUUCAGGUUGUGGCCCAGUUGUGGAAAGAGCCUCUGGGAUGUGUACCGCUGAGCAGUGAAGCCCUGUGAGGAGCAGCCGCUUGCUCAGGCAGCAAAAUCAACACAAACUGUAAAUAUGAGGGGGAAAAUUUACCUGAAGAAGGUGACGAAGAACUGCACCAGGUCCAUGAUGCUGUUGUGCUGAGAGAAAGCAAUCUGGAAAAGAGAAAGACCAGAGAGCUCCUGAGGGAAAUGCUAAAUGCUCCCUCAUGUUCACCAGCCAGUCCCUAGAUACUGCAAGUCUGCUGCUUGCUGCAGAGCAGGUGUGUGCAGUCGGCUUUUUAGAGCUUUUUUAACUGUUAACAGGCGCCAGUUGAAGUCAAAGACGACACUAUGAGAGCAGUAGGACUGAACCAACGCAGUAACAUUGUGGCCAAACAGCGAAACAAUGAGCUGAAACCCAACGUGAACCGGUUGAUAUUUCUCUGCAAGUUCAUCGCUAUGUGUCACCCCUUUCACGUUUUCAUUAGCAAUGUUAUUAUUUGAAAUAUUUCAGUUACUGCCACAUUUGGAGCCUCUGUGGGAUGACUGUAACUGCUUCCACAGUGUUGGUUCUGAUACAAA
Scatophagus argus is the source of this 806-nucleotide long non-coding RNA. RefSeq lists it as uncharacterized. The transcript is spliced from 3 exons. The record is from RefSeq and is a predicted model, not a curated record. NCBI's taxonomy places the organism in Eukaryota, Metazoa, Chordata, Actinopteri, Scatophagidae.